GACGAACGCUGGCGGCGUGCCUAAUACAUGCAAGUCGAACGAGAGCGACCGGUGCUUGCACUGGUCAAUCUAGUGGCGAACGGGUGAGUAACACGUGGGUAACCUGCCCAUCAGAGGGGGAUAACAUCCGGAAACGGAUGCUAAAACCGCAUAGGUCUUCGAGCCGCAUGGCUUGAAGAGGAAAAGAGGCGCAAGCUUCUGCUGAUGGAUGGACCCGCGGUGCAUUAGCUAGUUGGUGAGGUAACGGCUCACCAAGGCCGUGAUGCAUAGCCGACCUGAGAGGGUGAUCGGCCACAUUGGGACUGAGACACGGCCCAAACUCCUACGGGAGGCAGCAGUAGGGAAUCUUCCGCAAUGGACGCAAGUCUGACGGAGCAACGUCGCGUGAGUGAAGAAGGUUUUCGGAUCGUAAAACUCUGUUGUUAGAGAAGAACAAGUGCUAGAGUAACUGUUAGCGCCUUGACGGUAUCUAACCAGAAAGCCACGGCUAACUACGUG
RNAcentral lists this ribosomal RNA (498 nucleotides) under uncultured bacterium. RNAcentral's name for it is "partial 16S ribosomal RNA". It matches the Rfam family "Bacterial small subunit ribosomal RNA", at positions 28 to 507 of the family's 1533-position model. The record is from RNAcentral.